This 344-nucleotide long non-coding RNA is filed under the name Citrus maxima (pomelo). Its description in RNAcentral is "long non-coding RNA (CMAX_LNC001025)". The record is from RNAcentral. Lineage: Eukaryota; Viridiplantae; Streptophyta; Magnoliopsida; Sapindales; Rutaceae.
CGUCGUUGGCGAAUUUGCCGCCAAUUAGGGUUCAUGUGGAGGAGAGUGGCAAGGUUCAAGAGCAAUUUGGGCAGAUGAAUAUUAGUGGUGGUAGUGGCGGUGGGCAAAAGCUGCAACAAGAGGAGGGGUUUGUGGUUAUGUCGUCACCUCAUCCGCCGCCGGUGGUGACAACUGCUGCGACGGUGGGUUUGGUUUCUGGUGAGUACGUAAAUAGGGUGGUUUCUGAUGAUGAGAGAUCGGAUCAUGGCGUGCCUGUUGGUUUCAAAAAAGCACCACCUCCACCUCAGCCGUUGCCGCAGAAGUCAAGCGGCGGUGGGGGCGGCGGCGUUGUUCUUGACUUGCCC